Molecule: non-coding RNA, 325 nt
Organism: Pelobates cultripes (western spadefoot toad)
Lineage: Eukaryota; Metazoa; Chordata; Amphibia; Anura; Pelobatidae
Source: the annotation of a GenBank genome assembly
GCCUAUUGAUCCAUAUUGUAAGUCUAUGGAAUGCAAUCCAAUCCAUAUACUUAUAAAUAACCCUGACAAGUUCUUGGAUAAAUAUGGUAAUUUAUUUGGGUUUCAAAUAUAUGGGACAGGUUUAGACCCUGGGACAAUAUUGUUUAUAGGGAUAGAGACUGAUACGGUAACCUCCCAAACUCAUCAAGUAUACCAUUCCUUUUAUGAAGAGAUGAGCAUAGAUAAUAAGAUCCCCCAUAAUGCUAAAAACUUGUUCAUUGAUUUAGCCGAGAGUAUUGCCGGUAGUCUUAAUGUUACCAACUGCUAUGUGUGUGGAGGUACUAAC